Molecule: ribosomal RNA, 492 nt
Filed under: uncultured bacterium
Lineage: Bacteria
Description: bacterial SSU rRNA
Rfam family: Bacterial small subunit ribosomal RNA
Source: RNAcentral
AGUGAACGCUGGCGGCAGGCCUAAUACAUGCAAGUCGAACGGCAGCACAGCAGAGCUUGCUCUGUGGGUGGCGAGUGGCGGACGGGUGAGGAAUACAUGGGAAUCUGCCCAGUCGUGGGGGAUAACGUAGGGAAACUUACGCUAAUACCGCAUGCGCCCUUCGGGGGAAAGCCGGGGACCUUCGGGCCUGGCGCGAUUGGAUGAGCCCAUGUCGGAUUAGCUAGUUGGCGGGGUAAAGGCCCACCAAGGCGACGAUCCGUAGCUGGUCUGAGAGGAUGAUCAGCCACACUGGAACUGAGACACGGUCCAGACUCCUACGGGAGGCAGCAGUAGGGAAUAUUGGACAAUGGGCGCAAGCCUGAUCCAGCCAUGCCGCGUGAGUGAAGAAGGCCCUCGGGUUGUAAAGCUCUUUUGUCCGGAAAGAAAAAGCGCCGGGUUAAUACCCUGGUGUCCUGACGGUACCGGAAGAAUAAGCACCGGCUAACCUUCGUG